This 2899-nucleotide ribosomal RNA is filed under the name Escherichia coli B26-2. RNAcentral's name for it is "bacterial LSU rRNA". It matches the Rfam family "Bacterial large subunit ribosomal RNA". Lineage: Bacteria; Pseudomonadati; Pseudomonadota; Gammaproteobacteria; Enterobacterales; Enterobacteriaceae. The record is from RNAcentral.
UAAGCGACUAAGCGUACACGGUGGAUGCCCUGGCAGUCAGAGGCGAUGAAGGACGUGCUAAUCUGCGAUAAGCGUCGGUAAGGUGAUAUGAACCGUUAUAACCGGCGAUUUCCGAAUGGGGAAACCCAGUGUGUUUCGACACACUAUCAUUAACUGAAUCCAUAGGUUAAUGAGGCGAACCGGGGGAACUGAAACAUCUAAGUACCCCGAGGAAAAGAAAUCAACCGAGAUUCCCCCAGUAGCGGCGAGCGAACGGGGAGGAGCCCAGAGCCUGAAUCAGUGUGUGUGUUAGUGGAAGCGUCUGGAAAGGCGCGCGAUACAGGGUGACAGCCCCGUACACAAAAAUGCACAUGCUGUGAGCUCGAUGAGUAGGGCGGGACACGUGGUAUCCUGUCUGAAUAUGGGGGGACCAUCCUCCAAGGCUAAAUACUCCUGACUGACCGAUAGUGAACCAGUACCGUGAGGGAAAGGCGAAAAGAACCCCGGCGAGGGGAGUGAAAAAGAACCUGAAACCGUGUACGUACAAGCAGUGGGACGCACAGAGCAAUCUGUGUGACUGCGUACCUUUUGUAUAAUGGGUCAGCGACUUAUAUUCUGUAGCAAGGUUAACCGAAUAGGGGAGCCGAAGGGAAACCGAGUCUUAACGGGCGUUAAGUUGCAGGGUAUAGACCCGAAACCCGGUGAUCUAGCCAUGGGCAGGUUGAAGGUUGGGUAACACUAACUGGAGGACCGAACCGACUAAUGUUGAAAAAUUAGCGGAUGACUUGUGGCUGGGGGUGAAAGGCCAAUCAAACCGGGAGAUAGCUGGUUCUCCCCGAAAGCUAUUUAGGUAGCGCCUCGUGAAUUCAUCUCCGGGGGUAGAGCACUGUUUCGGCAAGGGGGUCAUCCCGACUUACCAACCCGAUGCAAACUGCGAAUACCGGAGAAUGUUAUCACGGGAGACACACGGCGGGUGCUAACGUCCGUCGUGAAGAGGGAAACAACCCAGACCGCCAGCUAAGGUCCCAAAGUCAUGGUUAAGUGGGAAACGAUGUGGGAAGGCCCAGACAGCCAGGAUGUUGGCUUAGAAGCAGCCAUCAUUUAAAGAAAGCGUAAUAGCUCACUGGUCGAGUCGGCCUGCGCGGAAGAUGUAACGGGGCUAAACCAUGCACCGAAGCUGCGGCAGCGACACUGUGUGUUGUUGGGUAGGGGAGCGUUCUGUAAGCCUGUGAAGGUGUCUGUGAGGAUGCUGGAGGUAUCAGAAGUGCGAAUGCUGACAUAAGUAACGAUAAAGCGGGUGAAAAGCCCGCUCGCCGGAAGACCAAGGGUUCCUGUCCAACGUUAAUCGGGGCAGGGUGAGUCGACCCCUAAGGCGAGGCCGAAAGGCGUAGUCGAUGGGAAACAGGUUAAUAUUCCUGUACUUGGUGUUACUGCGAAGGGGGGACGGAGAAGGCUAUGUUGGCCGGGCGACGGUUGUCCCGGUUUAAGCGUGUAGGCUGGUUUUCCAGGCAAAUCCGGAAAAUCAAGGCUGAGGCGUGAUGACGAGGCACUACGGUGCUGAAGCAACAAAUGCCCUGCUUCCAGGAAAAGCCUCUAAGCAUCAGGUAACAUCAAUCGUACCCCAAACCGACACAGGUGGUCAGGUAGAGAAUACCAAGGCGCUUGAGAGAACUCGGGUGAAGGAACUAGGCAAAAUGGUGCCGUAACUUCGGGAGAAGGCACGCUGAUAUGUAGGUGAAGUCCCUCGCGGAUGGAGCUGAAAUCAGUCGAAGAUACCAGCUGGCUGCAACUGUUUAUUAAAAACACAGCACUGUGCAAACACGAAAGUGGACGUAUACGGUGUGACGCCUGCCCGGUGCCGGAAGGUUAAUUGAUGGGGUCAGCGCAAGCGAAGCUCUUGAUCGAAGCCCCGGUAAACGGCGGCCGUAACUAUAACGGUCCUAAGGUAGCGAAAUUCCUUGUCGGGUAAGUUCCGACCUGCACGAAUGGCGUAAUGAUGGCCAGGCUGUCUCCACCCGAGACUCAGUGAAAUUGAACUCGCUGUGAAGAUGCAGUGUACCCGCGGCAAGACGGAAAGACCCCGUGAACCUUUUACUAUAGCUUGACACUGAACAUUGAGCCUUGAUGUGUAGGAUAGGUGGGAGGCUUUGAAGUGUGGACGCCAGUCUGCAUGGAGCCGACCUUGAAAUACCACCCUUUAAUGUUUGAUGUUCUAACGUGGACCCGUGAUCCGGGUUGCGGACAGUGUCUGGUGGGUAGUUUGACUGGGGCGGUCUCCUCCUAAAGAGUAACGGAGGAGCACGAAGGUUGGCUAAUCCUGGUCGGACAUCAGGAGGUUAGUGCAAUGGCAUAAGCCAGCUUGACUGCGAGCGUGACGGCGCGAGCAGGUGCGAAAGCAGGUCAUAGUGAUCCGGUGGUUCUGAAUGGAAGGGCCAUCGCUCAACGGAUAAAAGGUACUCCGGGGAUAACAGGCUGAUACCGCCCAAGAGUUCAUAUCGACGGCGGUGUUUGGCACCUCGAUGUCGGCUCAUCACAUCCUGGGGCUGAAGUAGGUCCCAAGGGUAUGGCUGUUCGCCAUUUAAAGUGGUACGCGAGCUGGGUUUAGAACGUCGUGAGACAGUUCGGUCCCUAUCUGCCGUGGGCGCUGGAGAACUGAGGGGGGCUGCUCCUAGUACGAGAGGACCGGAGUGGACGCAUCACUGGUGUUCGGGUUGUCAUGCCAAUGGCACUGCCCGGUAGCUAAAUGCGGAAGAGAUAAGUGCUGAAAGCAUCUAAGCACGAAACUUGCCCCGAGAUGAGUUCUCCCUGACCCUUUAAGGGUCCUGAAGGAACGUUGAAGACGACGACGUUGAUAGGCCGGGUGUGUAAGCGCAGCGAUGCGUUGAGCUAACCGGUACUAAUGAACCGUGAGGCUUAACCU